RNAcentral lists this ribosomal RNA (484 nucleotides) under uncultured bacterium. Its description in RNAcentral is "partial 16S ribosomal RNA". It matches the Rfam family "Bacterial small subunit ribosomal RNA", at positions 28 to 523 of the family's 1533-position model. The record is from RNAcentral.
GACGAACGCUGGCGGCGUGCUUAACACAUGCAAGUCGAACGAUGAAGCCGGAGCUUGCUCUGGUGAAUUAGUGGCGAACGGGUGAGUAACACGUGAGUAACCUGCCCUUGACUCUGGGAUAACUGCUAGAAAUGGUAGCUAAUACCGGAUACGACCCUCGGAGGCAUCUCCAGGGGGUGGAAAGAAUUUCGGUCAAGGAUGGACUCGCGGCCUAUCAGCUAGUUGGUGAGGUAAUGGCUCACCAAGGCGACGACGGGUAGGCGGCCUGGGAGGGGGACCGGCCACACUGGGACUGAGACACGGCCCAGACUCCUACGGGAGGCAGCAGUGGGGAAUAUUGCACAAUGGGCGCAAGCCUGAUGCAGCAACGCCGCGUGAGGGAUGACGGACUUCGGGUUGUAAACCUCUUUUAGUAGGGAAGAAGCGAAAGUGACGGUACCUGCAGAAAAAGCACCGGCUAACUACGUGCCAGCCGCCGCCGUAA